RNAcentral lists this ribosomal RNA (513 nucleotides) under uncultured bacterium. RNAcentral describes it as "partial 16S ribosomal RNA". It matches the Rfam family "Bacterial small subunit ribosomal RNA", at positions 28 to 523 of the family's 1533-position model. The record is from RNAcentral.
GACGAAUGCUGGCGGCGUGCCUAAUACAUGCAAGUUGAGCGAUGAAGAUUGGUGCUUGCACCAAUUUGAAGAGCAGCGAACGGGUGAGUAACGCGUGGGGAAACUGCCUUUGAGCGGGGGACAACAUUUCGAAACGAAUGCUAAUACCGCAUAACGACUUUAAACAUAAGUUCUAAGUUUGAAAGAUGCAAUGGCAUCACUCAAAGAUGAUCUCGCGUUGUAUUAGCUAGUUGGUGAGGUAAAGGCUAACCAAGGCGAUGAUACAUAGCCGACCUGAGAGGGUGAUCGGCCACAUUGGGACUGAGACACGGCCCAAACUCCUACGGGAGGCAGCAGUAGGGAAUCUUCGGCAACGGACGAAAGUCUGACCGAGCAACGCCGCGUGAGUGAAGAAGGUUUUCGGAUCGUAAAACUCUGUUGGUAGAGAAGAACGUUGGUGAGAGUGGAAAGCUCAUCAAGUGACGGUAACUACCCAGAAAGGGACGGCUAACUACGUGCCAGCCGCCGCCGUAA